GGCUGACUGUGGUCUGAUAGGGGUGUCACUGGGCUGACUGUGAUCUGAUAGGGGUGUCAGUGGGCUGACUGUGGUCUGAUAGGGGUGUCAGUGGGCUGACUGUGAUCUGAUAGGGGUGUCAGUGGGCUGACUGUGGUCUGAUAGGGGUGUCAGUGGGCUGAAUGUGAUCUGAUCGGGGUGUCAGUGGGCUGAUUGUGAUCUGAUAGGCGCAUCAGUGGGCUGACUGUGGUCUGAUAGGUGUGUCAGUGGGGUGGGGUGUCAGUGGGCUGACUGUGGUCUGAUAGGGGUGUCAGUGGGCUGAAUGUGAUCUGAUCGGGGUGUCAGUGGGCUGAUUGUGAUCUGAUAGGCGCAUCAGUGGGCUGACUGUGGUCUGAUAGGUGUGUCAGUGGGGUGGGGUGUCAGUGGGCUGACUGUGGUCUGAUAGGGGUGUCAGUGGGCUGACUGUGGUCUGAUUGGGGUGUCAGUGGGCUGACUGUGGUCUGAUA
Long non-coding RNA from Oncorhynchus tshawytscha (Chinook salmon), 485 nucleotides. The record is from Ensembl. NCBI's taxonomy places the organism in Eukaryota, Metazoa, Chordata, Actinopteri, Salmoniformes, Salmonidae.